GGCACUCCAGACAUCUGCAGUACUUAACAGGGCAUUAAACAGCUCGCACUGCAGAAACAGACGCUGCACGUGGUUCUGAGGCUCUGAAUAUGGACGGAACGUAGAAAAUCUGUUUCUAAACCUCUUCCAGUGAGUUCUUCUUGGUUGACUAAGGCUGCAAUUUCUGUUUUCAGACACAAAAUACUCUUGCCCCCUCAUUUCCUUCUUUUCUUCUAAACCAGGAAAGAAUACAACCUUGCUGUUUCCCAAGGAUAAAUCUUAGUUCUGGAAUUUCUCCUUCAACACUGCUCGCCCCGUCACGUAGUUUCCUGUUUUCCUUACCAGUCCUAACAAGAGGCUGUGAAUGUAAGAGAUUCCUUCUUAGGACACUUAGGGAAACUGUUCUGCAGUCAUUUUAAAUCUUCCACAGUACAGCUUGAACUACUGGGGGGAUUUUUCUAAUUUUCUAAUUUUUUUCUAAUUUAUUUGUAACACUGCUUUUGUAAGCAGCAUCCAAACACACUAGACUUCGCUACAUUUAAUUUUUCAGAUCUAGAAGUUAGUUAGCUGUUAUUUUCCUUCAUGUUCAACCAGAAUCUCCUCUUUCUGCAGUAGCUCACAGCCUGCUGGUUGUUGAAAUGAUCAUCUUACCAAUGCCAGGCUCCAGGGGGAUGGUCUUUCUGGACAGCAAACCCUUCCCAUUGGCUGUGGGAGGCUCCUGCCGGGCAGAGGGCCUGGGCUGAUCCAUCCCUUUCUUGAUGACCACGAGGGCAUCUUUGUGCAGCUGUGCCUGGUGCAGAACCUUCAGGACAUUCCCGUGGGCUAAGCCAGCCAGUGAGGCGCCGUUGACUGACAGAAGGAAAUCCCCUCGGUUCAUAGUCCCUUCCUGAGAAGCCGCCCCCUGAGAAAACACCCUGUGGACCUGGGAUGAGGAAAGGAAAAGGGAACAAAAACCAGAUCCACUUACGAUUUCCGUGUCUGACAUGGGCCUGGCAUCCAGGAGGCAAUGGGAAUACGAAGAUGAAUGAGGCCUGGGCUCGUGCAGUGAAGGUGACCCUCUGGAUGGUCCUGAAGGCUUUUGAAUGAUGUAAAAUUUUGAGUGACUUUUUGAGACGGGAGUAAUUGUAUAAACACAAGUUUGGCCAGUUGAUUCUAAUGUUUUCUACUGCUUAAAAUAUGGAGGUAAAUUAUAAGGCUAUAGCGAAUUGUGUUUAUAGGGAUUGGAAAUGGCCUAUACAUGUCAGCUCUGUGUUAAAAAUGCUUGUCUUUUGUCAACGAAAACCUUACGUACUACUUCUCCCACUUCUCCCUUUUUAUGUUGGUAGCUGGGAAUGAAAUCCAGCAAUCUCUGAACCCGCUGAUUGGAAUUUGUGCCCUGAUCACAUUCUGAGGCUGCUUGAGGGGGGAUUUUCCUGAGAGCCUAAUGACUCUGUCACUUACCGUGAUUGAUUUUGGCUCCACAUCUGUCCCUCCUGCCACACUGAAUCCCAGACCUGAGCCUUCUUUUCUAUUCAAGACUAUGAAGCAAACAUCUUCUUCAUUCUAGUGAAAACAAACAAAAAUUAUCCUUUGAGCUACAGCUGCAAAAAAUUAAGAAAGAAAAACAUAUCCCCUUGGGCCAGGAGUAAGGAAGCUCUGAUGUCAGUCCUCUUGGAGGGGCUUUUCACCACAGGCCCUAAAGGUUCUUUGGCUCUCAGCCAGGCAUGGUGGCUCACGCCUGUAAUCCCAACACUCUGGGAAGCCAAGGGGGCGGAUCUCUUGAGCCCAAGAGUUCGAGUCCAGCCUGGGCAAUGUGGCAAAACCCUGUCUCUACAAAAAUCAGCCAGGUGUGGUGUUGCACACUUGUAGUCCCAGCUACUCAAGAGGCUGAGGUGGGAGGAUUACCUAAGCCCGGAAGGUCACGGCUGCAGUGAGCCAUGAUCACGCCACUGCACUUCAGCCUGGUUGACAGAGUGAGACCUUGUCUCAAAAAAAAAAAAAAAAAAAAAAAAUCAUAGUACAUAAUUUGAUCAUGAUGGGAAUCCUUUAUUCUGUAAUUCUUUAAGUCUACAAUUUAGCAAAGCCAGUCCUAGCAACAGCAGAAAGAUAAGCGUCAGUGGCAAGAGGCAGGAUAAGAGCAUAUCAAGGCCAUGUUUUCUACAUCUCCCUCCCCAUCAUUGGAUUUCAGGUACAAUUAAUUAACUGAUGCCAAAAAAAUAGCAUGGCUAGGCGCAGUGGCUCACGCCUGUAAUCCCAGUGCUUUGGGAGGCCAAGGCGGGCGGAUCACCUGAGGUCAGGAGUUCGAGACCAGCCUAGUCAACAUGGCGAAACCCCGUCUCUACUGAAAAAUACAAAAAUUAGCCGGGCGUGGUGGCGGACACCUGUAAUUCCAGCUACUUGGGAGGCUGAGGCAGGAGAAUCGCUUGAACCCAGCGGGCAGAGGUUGCAGUGAGUGGAGAUCAUGCCAGUUGCACUCCAGCCUGGGUGAUGGAGUGAGGCUCUGUCUCAAAAAACCCCCAAAGUUCACUCAAACCAAAACCUAGACUGUCCCGCAGAACUUUUGGGGGAGUUGGGAGGUUGACUUCAUGGGCACCUUCAACCAUAUGUAUGCUCACACACGGAUUGAUGGGGAGAAAGAGGUUGACUAAGCUUUCCAAACAAAAAUGGGAAUACGGGACCCAGUAAAUGGUCUUUGUCCAGCUUCUAGGAGGUAAUGUGGUGCUGAAAAUAGGAACACUUCUCAGAUAUUUCAAUGUCUUAUGGGAGCAAAGAGACAAUAUUUGAAAAUGAGGCCUCCUACGCCGGGUGCGGUGGCUCACGCCUGUAAUCCCAGCACUUUGGGAGGCGGAGGCAGGUGGUUCACAUGGUCAGGAGAUGGAGCCCAUCCUGGCUAACACGGUGAAACCCCGUCUCUACUAAAAAAAAAAAAAAAAAAAAGCCGGGCAUGGUGGCGGGCACCAGUAGUCCCAGCUACUCGGGAGGCUGAGGCAGGAGAAUGGCGUGAACCCAGGAGGUGGAGCUUGCAGUGAGCCGAGAUCACGCCACUGCACUCCAGCCUGGGCAACAGAGCGAGACUCCAUCUCAAGAAAAGAAAAAAAAAAAGGAGAAGGAAAAAAAAAAAGAAAAUGAGGCCCUCCUGCAUUCCAGGACAAGUUAAAUCACAAAAAUUUCAAUGUAUUCACAUUUUUUUCCAGUGGUGUUUAAGGACACAGAUAUGCUAGAAGCUGACUAUUGCGCCAAAUUUUGCCUCUGAGAGCCUCAGCACAGUCUCAGGGCGGCCAGAUCAACCAUCAAGAGCUCUCCAAGGUUUGGGUGUGUUGAAGUCAGGAGGCCAGGGUUUGUUUUCAGCCUCGAAGCCUCGAAUCUCUCACAGCACUGCCAAGGACACAGAAAAUAGUUUUGUGCAGUUCUAUUUUUAGUACCUGCAAACCAUACUCAUUGGAAAAAGCAAGGCAGGAAGCUUCUAGACUGAGGAUGGCAGAGUAAGGAUAGCCCUGCUCAACGCUCCUCUCUGAAGACAGUGAGAAAAUAAAGGGAAAAGAACGCCGUGUUCUGAUAUGUAGGAAUGAUCUUCAAACCAAACCACAACCCUGCCUCGUGGUGAGCGUGAGUAGUAGGGGGUGAGGAAGGCCCUAGAAUAAGCCACCCUCGGGCAGCACUGUGGCAUGCUGGCCAUACUUUGUUUGAGGUUCCUGAAGAUGUACAUCUUGCUUGUGGUUGGCUGGACAGUCUGGUCUUCUCCUCUGACAUUUCAUCUAACACUAAAAUGUCUGGGGUAAAGGGGGCCUGGCAACGUGUGACCCCACCUGUGCCCCCUUGACUGGUGGUCUCAGAAUGAGACUUUCACACAUGAAAUCCUUCCUUAUUGUAAUAACAAGUGGGAGGAGGAAGAGAGAUGAGGGGCUAUUCCCUUUUACUGAAAGCGGAAGUGCUUAGCAUCUCAAGACAUUUUGUUUUUCUUUCAGAGACAGGGUCUUGCUCUGUCACCCAGGCUGGAGUGCGCUGGCACGAUCAUAGCUCACUGAGCCUCAAACUACUGGACCCAAGUGAUUCUCCUGCUUCAGAUUCCCAUGUAGGUAGGACUACAGGCAUAUACCACCACGCCUGGCUAAUUUUUUAAAUUUAAUCUUUUUUUUUUUUUUUUGAGAGAUGAGGGGUCUCACUAUGUUGAUGAGGCUGGUCUCGAACUCCUGGCCUCAGAUGAUCCUCCUGUCAAGGCAUGUCUUAACUGCACAGACCCAAAUCAGCGGCUGAGAAUCAGAAGGGAGUGGAACCUGAAGGGACUGGUCUCCUUUAUUCCAACCUCUCUCCUCGCCUCCUGGCCAACUCCUUACUAGGUGCCAAGGCUGGCUGUUGGCUGAGAAACCACACAGCCCCUCUAUAUUUGAAUUUCUGGAACAGCAUUCUUAGAUGACUUCAGUGACCCAGGGUUCAGAUGCUCUUCUACAGGUGACAUUUGAACAACACAGGCUCAAACUGUACAGGUCCACUCACACUCAGGGUUUCUUCAGCCUCUUUAUCCUUGAGGCAGCAAGACCAACCCCUCCCUCCUUCUCAGGCUACUCAGUGUGAAGAUGACAAGGAUGAAGCCCUUUAUGAUGAACCACUUCCACUUAAUGAAUAGUAAAUACACUUUCUCUUAUGACUUUUUUUUUUUAAUUGAGAUGAAGUCUUGCUCUGUCACCCAG
Molecule: long non-coding RNA, 4646 nt
Filed under: Homo sapiens (human)
Lineage: Eukaryota; Metazoa; Chordata; Mammalia; Primates; Hominidae
Description: HSALNT0086213
Source: RNAcentral